This is a long non-coding RNA of Canis lupus familiaris (dog), 568 nucleotides long. RefSeq lists it as uncharacterized. The transcript is spliced from 3 exons. The record is from RefSeq and is a predicted model, not a curated record. Lineage: Eukaryota; Metazoa; Chordata; Mammalia; Carnivora; Canidae.
GGUAGGUCCUAUUAUUAGCUCCGUUUUAUAGUUGAGGGAAGGGAGACUCGCAGAGAUUAAAUCUCUCGCUCUAUGUCCUGGUAGGGGUCAACGGCACAGUUGGACUCCGCGUUUCACACACCCCCUCCUCUGGCCUCUCUCUGGUGGUGUGGUAGACGUGUGCAGGCCAGGAGCUAGGGACAGACGCUGACUUCUCUUGUUUCCAUUCAAAUUCAACACACAUUUCCUGGGGCCUGAGCUGGAGCAAAGUUUGUAAACAGGAAUUGAAAAAAAUGCAUUCCAGUGUUAGAGAUAUUGGUUCCAAUUCAGCACAUGUUUCAGGUGUGAGCUCAAUCCUGCACUUCAGUAAAAACUGGUACACGGCACAGCUGGUAUUCUGCUUCCCCAUUUUGAACUGGAUCCACAAAUACCAACUCCAGGAGUGACAGAGAAGGUGGACUCCGGUCGUAGGAUAACACGAGGGGAAUCUGACUCGGAUGCAGGAGAAGCCUCUGUACUACUUCAAUUUCUCUGCAAACCUAAAACUAUUCUAAAAAGAAAAGACUAUUUAAAAAGCAUGGGGAAAAAA